CAGCCGCCGCGGGAAUACGUAGGGUGCGAGCGUUAAUCGGAAUUACUGGGCGUAAAGCGUGCGCAGGCGGUUAUAUAAGACAGAUGUGAAAUCCCCGGGCUCAACCUGGGACCUGCAUUUGUGACUGUAUAGCUAGAGUACGGUAGAGGGGGAUGGAAUUCCGCGUGUAGCAGUGAAAUGCGUAGAUAUGCGGAGGAACACCGAUGGCGAAGGCAAUCCCCUGGACCUGUACUGACGCUCAUGCACGAAAGCGUGGGGAGCAAACAGGAUUAGAUACCCCCGUAGUCCCUGUCUCUUAUAC
RNAcentral lists this ribosomal RNA (301 nucleotides) under uncultured bacterium. RNAcentral's name for it is "partial 16S ribosomal RNA". It matches the Rfam family "Bacterial small subunit ribosomal RNA", at positions 509 to 807 of the family's 1533-position model. The record is from RNAcentral.